AGGCUGAGGCAGGAGAGUCGCUUGAGCCUGGGAGGUGGAGGUUGCAGUGAGCUGAGAUCGCACCACUGCACCCCAGCCUGGGCAACAAGAGUGAAACUCCAUCUCAAAAAAAAAAAAAAAGGUACAUGAAACAUAUGAAGCAAAAAGUGAAAGUCCCCAUUCUUUUCCUUUUUCCAGAGGUGAUUUUUGUGGCCAAUCUGGUUUCAUUUCCUCCCAGACACUUUUCUAGGCAUCUAUGUGCCUCUAUUCACAUAUAAACAAAAUAGGAGUUUUCCUGUGCUUCCCUUAAAUGGCAUAUGUAUCAUUCACUCUAUUUUUUCACCUAGUGGAUCUUUAAUACCUUAAAAGCUCAACCUGGGCUUGGUGCGGUGGCUCAUACCUGUAAUCCCAGGCCUUUGGGAGGCCAAGGUGGGAGGAUCACUUGAGCGCAGGAGUUCCAGACCAUUCCAAAGCCAAA
RNAcentral lists this long non-coding RNA (457 nucleotides) under Homo sapiens (human). RNAcentral describes it as "HSALNT0341509". Lineage: Eukaryota; Metazoa; Chordata; Mammalia; Primates; Hominidae. The record is from RNAcentral.